This 87-nucleotide transfer RNA is filed under the name Photobacterium carnosum. Its description in RNAcentral is "tRNA-Asn". Lineage: Bacteria; Pseudomonadati; Pseudomonadota; Gammaproteobacteria; Vibrionales; Vibrionaceae. The record is from RNAcentral.
UCCUUCUUAGUUCAGUUGGUGUUUUUUAUUGGGAAGAUUAGCGGACUGUUAAUUCACAUGUCACUGGUUCAAGUCCAGUAGAGUGAA